GUUUCAAAUGGGAACAUAUUCCAAACUUGGCAGAGCAGCAGCUCAUCGAUGACCAGAAGACUCUCUUCUUCCCCACUAUUGUUCUCGCUCUCUCCCUCUCCAAAUUCAGUUCAAAUGGCAGAUCAGCUCACCAAUGAUCAGAUUUCCGAAUUCAAGGAAGCCUUCAAUCUUUUCGAUAAAGAUAUAGAUGGACAACAUUUCGAUUGAAUGUGAAGCAACAAAAUGUCAUUCUAACGACAUUCUUUAGAACUCGGCCUAGGUAUGGAAUCAAAUGUGCACAAUGUUGUCCAUUAGGGCUUGCCUUGAUCUGCGGGUUGUGGAAGUUGCUCCUUUUAUAGGAAACAACGAUUGUUUGUACAUUAUUUUCUAUUCAAAGGCUCUUGUACUGGAAAUUGAUGCAUACAAUGGAACAAUUCUCUAGCAAAAGAAUGUUGGUCCAUUAAGUUCUGCAGACUUUGCUCCCAACAGUUGAUUCCAUUGGUUGGAUCUCUUUUGGUUUACUAGAUGGGUUAUUUUACUCAUUUUCUUCUUGGGAUUCUCAAAAGGUUCUCUAAAUAAGACAAAUAAGAUUAUGUAAUCCAGAAUGACAGAAUCAGGUCAGCUUUCAUCCUUAAUCUUUGAGAGUGACUUGCUGCAUUUUCUUGUGCUGCAUUUUCGUAGGUCAGCUUUCAUCCUUAAUCUUUGAGAGUGACUUGCUGCAUUUUCUUGUGCUGCAUUUUCGUGUGGUUUACAGGAUCUUCUAGUCUUCGUUAGUGCCUCAAGUGAGAUACUUACCUAUCUUAGAAGUUAUUUUUAGUGAUUCAACUUAAAGUUCUUGAAAGAUUUUUGAUUUCAUUGCAGAGAUGGUAGUCCACUUCAUUGCCAUAGCAAAAGUAAUGAAUUCUUAAAACUUGAUAUAAAUAUAUUAAUUCAUUUAUUUGGGUUAGUUUUCUAAUAGCUUCUCCAAAUGUUGGUUGGUUACCAAGUCAAAAACUUGAAUCAAGCUAUUCUCUUUCAGAACCCAAACAUGAUGACAUCUACACAGGUAAUCCCAGGCUUGUCAAUAUUUCAUAAGAAAAAACAGAUUAUUUCCAAAAACUAUCUUUUAUGAUUUAAAAAAAUUUGAAUGAAAUGAGCAGGAAACUGUGGUAUUUCUGGUAUUGAAGUCAGUAGUAUUGAUCCUUUUGGCAAUUGGUGUUAGAUUCUG
Impatiens glandulifera is the source of this 1186-nucleotide long non-coding RNA. RefSeq lists it as uncharacterized. The transcript is spliced from 6 exons. NCBI's taxonomy places the organism in Eukaryota, Viridiplantae, Streptophyta, Magnoliopsida, Ericales, Balsaminaceae. The record is from RefSeq and is a predicted model, not a curated record.